Psammomys obesus (fat sand rat) is the source of this 105-nucleotide small nuclear RNA. NCBI's taxonomy places the organism in Eukaryota, Metazoa, Chordata, Mammalia, Rodentia, Muridae. The record is from RefSeq and is a predicted model, not a curated record.
UUGCUCGCUUCGGCAGCACGCACACUCAAAUUGGAGUAAUAGAGAAGAUUGGCAUGGCCCCUGUGCAAUGAUGACAUGCAGAUUCGUGAAGCGUUGCAUAUUUUA